GAUUAACGCUGGCGGCGUGCAUAACACAUGCAGGUCGAACGAUGAAACUUAGUAGACUUCUUCGGAAAGACACUAAGCGGCUUAGUGGCGAACGGGUGAGUAACGCGUGAGUAACCUGCCUUACACAAGGGGAUAGCCUUUGGAAACGAAGAAUAAUACCCUAUAAAACCAUAAAAGCACAUGCUAGAAUGGUCAAAGUGAUAGCGGUGUAAGAUGGACUUGCGUCUGAUUAGCUAGUUGGUGAGAUAAAAGCUCACCAAGGCAACGAUCAGUAGCCGGCUUGAGAGAGUGUACGGCCACAUUGGGACUGAGACACGGCCCAGACUCCUACGGGAGGCAGCAGUGGGGAAUUUUGCACAAUGGGGGAAACCCUGAUGCAGCGACGCCGCGUGAUUUAGAAGGCCUUCGGGUUGUAAAAAUCUUUUGUAUAGGAAGAAAAUGACAGUACUAUACGAAUAAGGUCCGGCUAAUUACGUG
RNAcentral lists this ribosomal RNA (477 nucleotides) under uncultured bacterium. RNAcentral's name for it is "partial 16S ribosomal RNA". It matches the Rfam family "Bacterial small subunit ribosomal RNA", at positions 28 to 507 of the family's 1533-position model. The record is from RNAcentral.